Molecule: ribosomal RNA, 415 nt
Filed under: Klebsiella pneumoniae
Lineage: Bacteria; Pseudomonadati; Pseudomonadota; Gammaproteobacteria; Enterobacterales; Enterobacteriaceae
Description: bacterial SSU rRNA
Rfam family: Bacterial small subunit ribosomal RNA
Source: RNAcentral
ACAAGCGGUGGAGCAUGUGGUUUAAUUCGAUGCAACGCGAAGAACCUUACCUGGUCUUGACAUCCACAGAACUUUCCAGAGAUGGAUUGGUGCCUUCGGGAACUGUGAGACAGGUGCUGCAUGGCUGUCGUCAGCUCGUGUUGUGAAAUGUUGGGUUAAGUCCCGCAACGAGCGCAACCCUUAUCCUUUGUUGCCAGCGGUUCGGCCGGGAACUCAAAGGAGACUGCCAGUGAUAAACUGGAGGAAGGUGGGGAUGACGUCAAGUCAUCAUGGCCCUUACGACCAGGGCUACACACGUGCUACAAUGGCAUAUACAAAGAGAAGCGACCUCGCGAGAGCAAGCGGACCUCAUAAAGUAUGUCGUAGUCCGGAUUGGAGUCUGCAACUCGACUCCAUGAAGUCGGAAUCGCUAGUA